This 397-nucleotide ribosomal RNA is filed under the name uncultured bacterium. Its description in RNAcentral is "partial 16S ribosomal RNA". It matches the Rfam family "Bacterial small subunit ribosomal RNA", at positions 523 to 918 of the family's 1533-position model. The record is from RNAcentral.
AUACGUAGGUGGCAAGCGUUGUCCGGAAUUAUUGGGCGUAAAGCGCGCGCAGGCGGUCCUUUAAGUCUGAUGUGAAAGCCCACGGCUCAACCGUGGAGGGUCAUUGGAAACUGGGGGACUUGAGUGCAGAAGAGGAAAGUGGAAUUCCAAGUGUAGCGGUGAAAUGCGUAGAGAUUUGGAGGAACACCAGUGGCGAAGGCGACUUUCUGGUCUGUAACUGACGCUGAGGCGCGAAAGCGUGGGGAGCAAACAGGAUUAGAUACCCUGGUAGUCCACGCCGUAAACGAUGAGUGCUAAGCGUUAGGGGGUUUCCGCCCCUUAGUGCUGCAGCUAACGCAUUAAGCACUCCGCCUGGGGAGUACGGUCGCAAGACUGAAACUCAAAUGAAUUGACGGGG